AGCGAUUAUGGGUCGCAUUCUAGCAGUGGGACGGUGGAAGGGAUUUCAGAGCCAUUGUGGGCGAUGGUCGUGAUUAGCCGUGAUCUCCCUGCCCCGCUGCGUGGAUAUUCCAAACAGCGUUGGCAUCCAUUUGCAAUAGAAUUAGCACCUUGCCGCUGACUCCAUUUGGAUGAUCAGGAUCCCAACGCAAACCGACACAGGCUUCUUCAUUCUUGAAAAGUAAAAUAAAAAAAACAAAACAGGCAGAGGAGAAAUGUCUACUGAUUGAUGGUAUUUCAAUUCUCAACCGGGAACUUGAGUCAUAAUCAAAUGCUCAGAAAAUCCAGCUGCCGCAACCAGCAGCAAGACACCCGAAAACGAACCUCGAGCAGGGGUCCUGAUUGAGCAUGAUUCGACUGGUGUAACCGACUGCGGUUUGCGUAGCUGUUGCAACCUUCUUCUUUUUUUAUAUCUGCGUGCAUUUGAUGAUGAUGAAGAGAUCGGCUGGAAGAUCAGGGCGUGUACACGCAAGCUGUUGUUGCCUCCAAUCAUGGCGACAACGACGCAACCGCCAUGUCAACAUCAGAUGACAAAAUGGAGCGACGAGCUUAAAGAUCGAAGAUACCUGCACGAGAGCAAUCACAGGAAACAGCAGGAAGCAAUCGCCAAUUCGGUGUAUACGGAGUGACAGGCCAGCAUGAACUAGCUACCCGUGAUUAGUAGUAUAGUACAUGAAUAUGAGUAUAUAAAUAUUACCGUGUGAAUCAUAUGCAAAUUGAAACUGGUGGCGGUUUGUGGCAGUUGAGUGCAAGAUUAUCAAAAAAGGAAAACAAUAAUGUGACAGUUGAGCAUACUACUAGGCUCAGGCUGGGUACAGAACUGCAGAUUUUGUCGGCCAUCUUUUUUGUCUGAAGUUGUUGUCGGCUGUGUUUGACUGUCCCUAAAUCAUCACAUUUAUCACAAAUCCUGAUCAUUGUUUUACUUCUUUUUUUUCCGGAUUUUUAAUUGUUUUUAUUAGUGUUUGAAAUUUCCCCACGGAAUCAAGCGGCCAGUUGCAGGAUCAUUGAGCCCGGCCCGGCCCAUAUAGCAAAAAGUCUGGCUAGGAGGCUUCUUCCAUUUCUCCGGCUUCCUUAGCCUGGACUUUCCCCGCCAUUCGAUUUUACGGGCUGGGCCGAUAACAGAAAUCGUGCAUUCAAACCAUUUGCAUGCACAUGCAUGAUUCGAGAAGAGCCAAAAUAAAAAUAAAAAUAGAAAUAAAAACUACGGCUUAUCAGCAGUUGAGCACGAGCGAAUCACAUUGCAUCCGCUGCUUGAUCGUUGAAUUGUCCUUUUCAGCUAGUACUCCAACCAAUUUAUAAUUAUGCCCAUCCAAUAGAUCGAACUUUUCACAUGCAGAUGCAGCAGGCAGCCCAGAAGAUUAUCAUGUACUAAUUCUAUCUUAUGAAAAUUGAACUUCUGAAGAGAGCUUUGAUUAUGUGACUUUGGGAGACUCCUGGGACCACACUGCAUGCUGUGGACCCCACGCAUCAGUAGAACAGCAUCCAUGCAUCUGUGGAUACUGCUUGGUACACGCCUGGAGAAAUCCGGUUUUCAGGCAGAGUGUUCUUCGAAAUGGACAAACUCAGUUGAAUGCAUUUAGAACGUAUGUAGCAGUUGCAGCCUGUAGUCCUGUAAUCAAAGAACAGGCCCACAGCCGUUUUCAGUUGCUGUCCCACUUCCAAUCAGUAGGCCUGUUUUGGAGUAGUCUUGGUCCGAUAACUCCAAACUGAAGCAGGUUUUUCAAAAAAAAAAAAAACUCCAAACUGAAGCACAUGAAAAUCCUAGCCUAAAUAUCCGGUAUCCCAUUUUCAGAGUUGAUUAUUCCCUUACGAUGGGGGGUUUUGGAUUCUCUAGUAUGUUAUCAUUGCCGUGCUUGAAAUUAACUGGCUAAGAACGUUAUCUUCUAGAAAUGCAUUGGUAAGUGAAGGACCGAAAGGGCGACCAGAGGGGGGGUGAAUGGGAGCCUAUAAAAAUUUUUAAUGAGAAUAAGGCCUAUGUCCCAAAUGCAACCCCACAGCACACUGCGCGUUGUAUCGUCAAGAUGACGCAAGUCAACUCGUGACAGGCUCACCCUAGGAACGAUUUGACACGCUCAAGACAUAACGGAAGCAAGACAUGAAAUUACUCUAACAAGUUUGCUCAAAACACAAUUAACCAGAUCACUCCUAGCUAAUCCGUCAACUAAGCAAAAAAGAAAUAAUAAUUUAAAGUGCUAGGCGUGAUUAGCAAAUGAGAGAGCAAAAUAAUUAAUAGUUAGACUUGAUUAGCAAAAGUGACAACUAAUUAAAAGCUAAGCAAGUGACGCAAGAUGACUCACUAAUUCCAAGAAUUAAAAAUAGAGAAAACUUGAACUCACAGUGGUGUCACAAAAUGAGGCAGGACUUGUUCACGUGAAUCAGCCUGGGAGCUUGUUCGGCCUGUGCACCUCGCGUGGGUCACCUUGUGUGCUGCUACUUCACAUGGGCUUGGCCUGCUAGUGCUGCCUUGAAGCUUGGGCCAGCGUAUGUGCAAGCUGGGCUGCUGCUCUACCUUGUUGCCUGGGCCACGAGCACCUGCUUGGGCCGCCGCAAGCUCCUGCGCUAGCUGCACUUGCUCUGGCCCGUGCUGGACUGGACCGCUAGGAGUAGCGUGCUGGGCUGGUCCGCCUAGCCGCUGACGGCCCGCUCGCUGCUGCAACUUGCACGUGCGCCCCGCGUGCCUGUGCGAUCGAUUGCUGCUGCGCUUCUUCCUGCGCACGAACAGACAGAGAGAAACAAGAACACCACGAACACCACUUAAACUUCAAACUAAAAAUACUCCCUCAAAAUUCCAUGAAUCGAGACAAAACUUGAGCUAUAGAUGCGCAACCACAAGUGCGAAUAGAUCCAUGAGAAAGAUCUCAAAAAGCUCAAGUAUCCAUCACGGAUUUUAGAGAAAACCGAAAUCCUAACUCAAAAACGCGAUUUGGGAAAAACUCAAAAUCAAGCCGGAUUCGUGAGGGAUUUGAAAGGAGAUCAUAUCACGAAUGCUCUCCAAGGUCCUAGCAACAUUUCCCUUCAACCAAUCUCACAAGAUUCGGGCUCAAACAUGAUGAACGAAAAAUCCCCAAAAAAUAGUUCCGAAAAUAGGGAAAAAGAAAAACGCUCGGGAAUCAAAGAUUUAGCACGAUUUGAGACAACAAAUAAAGCUAAAUCACGAGAACAUCUUCUAUACAAGAUGAGGACUAGCCUCCUCCCUUCAUCCACCCACUAAAGAUGAAGAAAUCAAGAGAAAAGAGUAAUCACACCCUAAUCCCCCUCUCUCCUCUCACUUUAAGCACAUGACUAGCCUCUAAGCAAAUAGAUAAUGAGUUGCUAAGCAAAGAGGUACUGAAAUAACCAGCCCCCCAUCCCUAUUUAUAGUCCAGGACGAAAGACUAUACUACCCUUACAGCUACAACUAAGAUAACUACCCACGCAGGGGCAUUUUGGUCCAAGUUUUUAUACGUGCAUCGGACGGACACGCCGCCUUCACGACUUUGCUUCGCCUCGACGCAAGCUUCGCGAUGACGCCACGUGCCCUCCUUCUCGAAGCUCCGGCCGCACCGGGCUCGCCCCCGGUUUUGAGGCCCAAACCGGGAAACCUGCCUGCGCGGUGGUUUUGAGGCCCAAACCACCCAAACCGUCCAUUGACGCGUGUCCGGCCUCCGCCAAGCCUCCCGCUUGACUCGACCGACGUCGUCUCCAACCUGUCAUGCCCUCUCGCCAUUCCGUGCACCAUGUGGAUCGCCGUGACUUCGCCCGGACUCCUCGGGUCCAUCGGUCCAAGCCUACUCGCGUUCAUCCUUCACCGCCCUUGGUCCAUCGGCAUGAACCUUUCGCUUGACCUUCACCGCACGCCGUCGACCGUCACAUCGCAUCCUACACCUGCACAUCACAAGCCAAGAGAAACAUCAAACCAACACAACGUUGUCAAUCACUCAUCAUCCAAGGGUGACCACCAUUGGUCCUCAAUCUCCCCCUUGAUGAGUGCAUUGACAACACCCCACAAAUUCAUAGUAUUGAAACAGAAAAACAAGAAACUCAAAAUAGAAAAAUCUCAGUCCCCUAAGAUAAGGGCAACGGCUCUACACAACUGAGACAAAAUCAUGUGAUCCCUCAAGAAGAGGCAGAAAAUGGGCUCAACACCAAUCACAUGAAAAUCCAAACUCAAAUCAAAACCGGCUCCUCAAGAAGAGGUAAACAGCUCAACACGACCAGUAUAAGGGCAUAAGAGCAUAACAAGAGUAUAACAACUCAUAAAUACUCCCCCUGAACAUAUGCACUCCCCCUGAAAUCAUGCAUACAUGCAAAGUCUCCCCCUUGAUAGAUGAAAGAGUUUGUGUAGAUUUCUCUCCCCCUUGUUGACAAUGCAAUCAUCAAGAGCAUGAAAGCACAAAGUGCAUGCCAUGGAAAUGCAGAACCUAACAAGCUUCUCAAAUAUAUCACAAUGCACUCUCAAAGGCUACUAGGGAGAUAAAGCUUGAUAGAUCAUAAGAAACAAUAGCAUCGCCAACAAGAUGAUAUCAAGUUACAACAGUGGAGGUGAAGCAAAUAUCAAGUUUUAGCAAUGUAUAAAAAGAUCACCACAUGAGCAUUCACCUAGUUAAGAAUCACCCAAGCAAGAAAAGACUAGUCCAUCAAGAGCUCAUAUUAGGAAAAUCCAUUCUCAACAAGAGAUCAUUGCAAACACCCACAUAUGCAUCCCAAGUCAUGUUUAAAGCUUGUUGAAACCAAGUGUCUACUUCUUUUGGUAGACAUCUUGUAACAACUAAGCAAGCAAUAAUAUCACAUUAAGCACAAAAACUUGUGAAUUUAUGAAGUUUUCAGCAUAUUUAUUUUCAGUAUUCACACAAAGCAAAAUACAUGAAGUGCCUUUGCGGCACAAGGAAGCCAUGCUUCCCCAAGGGGUGCAUCAUGGGCUAAACAUUUGCAAUGAUACCUAGAUCUUUGACCCAAUUGAAAAGAACAUGAAUUCCAAACAUAAGCUAGAUAUGGAACCAAUAUUCAACCAAGGGCAAACCAUAACCAAGCAUCUACUCAUGGGUGAUAAGCAAGUUAAUAGAGUAGAAUUUAGCAUUGAAUUUCAAAAACAGUUAUCUCAACAAGUAUACAAUAUCAUCAAGAGCAUAACUGCACAUUGCAUCAAAAUCACCAACCACAGCACUACCUCACAGGUAGCAUAAGGGAGUACACAAGAUAUAUAGGAGAAGCUCAUCUAGUGCAACAUGAUACAAAAUGCAAUAUGAUACAAAAUGCAUGGAAACUAAGCUAAAAUGAUACAGAUGAACAACAUGCCAUACCCAAAUGUGUACUAAGGUAAAGCAUGACAUGAUGUUCAUAUGUAUCAUCCACCACAGUAUAUCACAAAAAUAGCAUGAUAAGAUAUACAUGAAGAACUCAAAGCUAUCAUGAACAAGUGACUAUCCUACCAUGUUUUGUACAAAAAUGAUACAAGUAUAAUACAAGAGAAGCUCCAAAAACCCAACUCAGAAAGGAAAGCAAACACCCAACUCCCCCCGCAAACGAGCAAAAUUGGCUUGAUCCAGGGGUUUGGUGAAAAUGUCCGCGAGUUGGUUUUGGGUAGCAACAUAGCCAAGGUCAAUAUCCCCUUUCUCAACAUGAUCUCUCAGAAAAUGAUAUCUCACAUCAAUGUGUUUAGUUUUUGAGUGGAGAACGGGGUUCUUGGCUACACUAAUGGCACUCGUGCUGUCACAAAGAAGAGGUACACGAGUAAAAUCCAAACCAAAGUCUCUCAAAGUGGAAAUCAUCCAAAGCAGCUGAGAACAACAGCUAGCAGCAGCAACAUACUCAGCUUCGGUGGUAGACUGAGCAACACUAGAUUGUUUACGAGAAGACCAAGAGACCAAAGACGAACCGAGAAACUGGCAAGUACCCGAGGUAGACUUGCGAUCCAAGCGACACCCAGCAAAGUCCGCAUCGGAGUAUCCCCGGAGCGUGAGUGUCGAGGAGGCAGAAUACCACAAACCGAACUCAGGGGUAAAGCGGAGAUACCUCAUGAUCCUCUUCACUGCUUGACGGUGAGAUGUCCUCGGUGAAGCUUGAAAACGAGCGCACAGACACACGGCGAAGUGUAUGUCCGGCCUCGUCGCCGUCAGGUACAAGAGGGAGCCGAUCAUGCUUCUGUACUCCUUCUGGUCCACCGGUUCGCCAUCUUCAUCCGCAUCUAGUGCUGUCGUCGUACCCAUUGGUGUGGAGAGUGGCUUAGCAUCAGCCAUGUCAAACUUCCUCAACACGUCCUUCGUGUACUUCCCUUGGUGCACGAAGGUUCCUUCCUUGCUUUGCUUGAUCUGUAGCCCGAGGAAGAAGGUCAACUCACCCAUCAUCGACAUCUCGAACUCCCUGCUCAUGUCAUCUGCAAACUUGGCAACCAAAACAUGAGAAGAACCACCAAAGAUAAUAUCAUCCACGUAUAUCUGAAUAAUCAAUAAGUCAUUGCCUUGCCUGAGGAGAAAGAGUGUUUUAUCAACUGAUCCCAUUUCAAACCCAUUCCCAAGCAAAAAGGAUUUCAAUCUAGCAUACCACGCUCGGGGUGCUUGUUUUAGGCCAUAGAGAGCUUUCUGGAGUUUGAAAACACGAUCAGGAUAUUUAGGACUCUCAAAACCAGGGGGUUGUUUCACAUACACUUCCUCCUCUAUGAAACCAUUUAGGAAGGCACUUUUCACAUCCAUUUGGAAGAGCUUAAAACCUUUAGCCACAGAGAAGGCUAGAAGGAUUCUAAUUGCUUCCAAACGGGCAACAGGGGCAAAGGUUUCCUCAUAAUCUAUCCCCUCUUUUUGGCUAAAACCUUGGGCAACCAACCUCGCUUUAUUUCUCACAAUCAACCCAUCCUCACCUUGUUUGUUUUUGAAAACCCAUUUUGUUCCUAUAGGAUGGCAAUUUGGAGGUGGUUCAACUAAAACCCAAACCCUGUUUCGCUCAAAAUUCUCCAACUCCUCAUGCAUGGCAUUAACCCAAUUUGAAUCAGAUAGAGCAUGUCCAAUAUCUCGGGGUUCGAAAGAGGCAACAAAUGCAGAAUGUGCAAAGUGUGAAAUAUGCCUAGAGCUGUGCCUAGUGGUGCGUUCAUGUAAGUUACCGAUCAUCUGUUGUGGAGGAUGACGACGCUGAAUGUGCCGUGGAGCCUCUCGCUCUGAAGUCGCCUCCCCCUCAACAGCAGCUGGAUCACUCUGAUCUUCUUCUUCUUCAUCCUGUAGUGGUACUAGUUGAUGGCUUGAAGUAGUGGAAGUAGAGGUAGGGCCAUCAACUCUCGUAGUCGAAGUAGAAGGUAUAGGUGCAACAGCUGGAGCUCGGUCAAUCUCAUCAUCCUCUUCCUCACCACCAUCUACACACUCUUCCUCUUCCUCAAAUAUGCUUUGCCCCAUUUCAUGUUCACCUGCAACUUCAAAGACAGGAGUUGUGCAAGGCAUAGUUUCAUCGAAUGUAAUCUCACAAGUUUCCACGAUCCGGUUAGUUUCAAGGUUAAGCACACGAUAAGCACGACUAUGAGAAGCAUAACCAAGAAAAAUCCCAUCCGUAGAACGAGACUCAAAUUUAUCCAAAUUUCCUUGCUUGAGAAUGAAACACUUGCAGCCAAACACCCUCAGAUGACUCACUUUGGGGGAACGUCGAUGCAUCAGCUCAUAAGAAGUUUUCUUCAGGAAAGCUCGCAAAAAGAUUCGAUUGGACACGUAGCAAGCAGUGUUGACGGCUUCGGCCCAAUAUUUUCUAGGAGUCCUAUGCUCAUCAAGCAUCGUCCUAGCCAUUUCACAAAGGGUCCGAUUCUUCCGUUCAACAACACCAUUCUGAGGAGGGACAUAAGGCGAUGAAAACUGGUGUUCAAGACCAAGAUCAUUGCAAAAGGCUUUAAAACGAACGUUUUUGAAUUCUGUGCCAUUGUCACUGCGGAUAGCUCUCAUGGCAUCGUUUGGUCGCUCGUUUCUCAACCUCAAGAUCAAAUCUCGAACAAAAGGAAAUGCCUCAUCCUUAGAUUCCAUGAAGAAAACCCAUGAAUACCUCGAAAAAUCAUCAACGAUCACAAGCACAUACCACUUCCCACCGACUGAACAAACACGAGCUGGACCAACUGUGUCCAUAUGCAACAGCUCGCCUGGAUGUUCAGUCAUCACCUGAUUCACAGGUGGAUGGGAAGCAGCAACCAUCUUCCCAUGUCGACAGGGAGCACAAACAAGAUCUUUCUCAAACUUUAAUUUAGGCAAACCACGAAUAAGAUCCAAAGUACUCAAGCGGGAAAGCAAAUCAAAACUCAAAUGACCCAAUCUCCUAUGCCAUUUCCAAAGUUCAGAAGAUGAGCCAGCCACUAAACACCGAGAGAGACCAAAUGACUUGGAAAAAUCAACUCGAAACACUUGACCCUCGGGGACGAUCAUACACACAAGAUCGCCUUGAGAGUCUAAAAUCCUUGAGGUCCCUUGCUUAAAACGGACCUCAAAACCAUCAUCAAGUAGUUGCGACACGGAGAGCAAAUUGAAACCAAGAGAAUCAACUAGAGCAACUCGCUUGAGCAUGAAAUUCUCACUCACCUUGAUAACACCUUCAGACAACACCUUACCUUUGCUAUUAUCCCCGAAAGUGAUGUACUCCUUGAUCAUCACCGGGGUGAGGCUGGAGAACCAUCUGUGAUCACCGGUCAUGUGUCGAGAGCAACCGGAAUCAAUAAGCCACGUGUUCUCCAGGCCUCCGACCUGCUCAAACAAAGGGAGACCAAGGAUGAGCAAAUGACUCAACACUGGGGUUAGAAAAACAAGUAGAAUACCAGUGUCGAACCAUUUGCUCAAGAGUGGGGUUAUCAAAAUCAACCAUCUCUCGUCUCACAGGAGGACUACGACCAACGCUAGGGGGAAAACGUGGUCCGUUGUAACUCCGAGACUCAAAGCCACGGCCAUAUUGUCCUGGGCCAUAUUGAUCAUGGCGAGGAGCAUGCCUAGCAAAAACACGCGAAGGAGCAAAACGCACACUAUCCACACGACGAGGUGGAGGAGCUGCUCUAGGCGCAUGUACACCAUGAGAAGGGUGGUACAUGUCCCUGUUGCCCCACUCACGCUCACGCCUCAAAGCCUUCUUCUUGCGAAAGCAAAACUCCUCAAGGUGACCCCAUCUCUUGCAAUACUCACAGUGGAAUCUAGCAGGCUGUUUUGGCUGAGGAUUCACUCUCGGUUGUGGCUUGUCUUGAGGUUUUGGUGGAGGUUUCUUAGGAGCAAUAUCUGGAAGUGUGUCAAGUUUGUUCUUGAGGUGGUUUGGCUUUUCGACCCAAAUGGCUUUCUUGGGUGCUUUAGGUGGUGUCUCAAUGAAAAUCCCAUCUCUCACACACUCAGACAAGUUUUGCUCACAAGCUGGGUUGGGUUGCUCUCUAUUUUUAGUGGGUGACUCUCGAGGGGUGUAGUCAAUUGGUGGCUCACACUGAUUGUAGCUUGGUUUCUUUCUCUCACCACUGUUUUGACCCACCUUCUCACACAACCCAUCAAAGAACUUGUGCAACCCAUUAAAAAGACAUCCCUUCAUAACCGACCCAAGCCCAAAACCAUCAGCCCUUUUGAACUCUUGAAUCAUCAUGCCUAACUGAGGUUCCCUACUUGACACCCAACUAAGAACAGUGCGCAAGUAGGAAUUUUCAUCCUCAACAUGUUGCAAAUUAAGUUUGAGUUCAGGACAAACAGUGCAUUCAGGAAGUUUAGAUCUAGCAAUAAACUCAGAAUUCUCUAAAGCACUAAGCUUAGCACAUGCAUCAUCCAACUGAACUUGCAAAGCAGGGCAAGACUUACAUGCACUAAGCAAAAUAGGCCUAUUCUUGACCUCAUCUAAAGCAGCCCUAGUCAAAUCCAAUUCAUCUACCAACAAAGCAUGCUUAGAUUGUAAAGAUGCAAGACUAGCCAUAUGAACACCACAUUCAUCACACUCAACAACAUCAGAAACAGUAGAAGCAGAUUUAAGCAUGUCUAUCUCAAUCAAGGCACUUUCUAACUUAGCCUUAAGCUCAACUCGCUCUUUAGCAGCCUUCUUAAGCAGUUUAUCUUGAUUGAUUAGGCAAUCAUUAAGUUCUUCUACUUCUAGAGCAAGUUGUUCAGGAGUAGACUUUACCUCAGUUUCUGUGUCGGAGUCACUUUCCUUGUCAUCCUUCUUGGAGUUGAGAGCCAUGACACAGUACCCGUCGCGGUUCUUGUCGGAGUAGAAGCAGAGGCCAUUGAAGUUCUUGCCAUCCUUCUUCUUUGCCUUGCGGUCGUCGUCCUCCUCGCUUGAGCUUGAGUCGGUGUGGUCGUCGGUGUCGGAGUCGACGUCGCUGAGGGAGGCGAUGAAGGCACGUGCUUUGGCCUUCUUGCGAUACUCCUUCUUCUCGCGAUCGGUGUACUUCUUUUUCUUCUUGGUGCCGUCCUUGUUCUUGUGCUUGUUGUAGUCGUACUUGCUCUUGGUUUUGUUUUUGUCGGGGCAGUCGGCGGCGAAGUGGCCUGGCUUGCCACAAUCGAAGCAGUUGUUGUUGUUCCUUCGCCUGUUCUUGCGGUUGUCGUUGAAGCGCAUGAAUCGCCUCGUGAUCAAGGCGAGCUCAUCAUCGUCAAGAACCUCCAGCUGCUCCUCUGAAACAGAAACCAAAGAAGACAAGGCAAACGACAUAGAAGAAGAGUUACUCAAAGACUUAGGCUGUCCAGAGCCUGACAUGAGAGCCAUACUAUUUGGAUCAGUAGGGCCUCCUUGUUUUGCUCGGAGUCUCUUGUCAACCUCCGUGGAUUUCAACUUGGCAAAGAGUUCAUCAGUGGAAAGUGUUUCAUAAUUCGGUGACUCGAUGAUAGCAUCAACCUUCGUACCCCACACUUCGUGAUCCAAGGCAUGCAGGAGCUUUAAAGCUCUAUCAUGAUCAGUGUAGGGUAAGACGGUGAUAUUUGCUUUCAUCUUGUUCACAAUAGCCAAGAAACGCUGAAACAAAGCACCGGCAGACUCACCAGGCAAAUGAACAAAGUUCUCAUACUCACGCCUGUAAGUCUCAAAGAGUCUAGCCUUCACCUGACUGUUUCCCUCGUGGAAACUCUGAAGUCGAGACCAAAUCUCAUGAGCAAGAGAGAGAUCUUCGACUCGAUCGAACUCAGCACGACUCAGACUCGCAAACAGAAUAUCAACCGCCUUGCUGUUGGCGUGAUACUUAUCCCUUUCAUCCUGAGUCACACGAGUAGCAGGAAUCACAUAAGUCACAUCCUGAGUGAUUUCCCAAACCCCUGCUCCCCUACUAUUUAGAUGGGCUCUCAUGCGAGUUUUCCAAUACCGAUAAUCAGAGCCAUCAAAGUAGGGUGCAGCGGUCGAGGAAGAACGCUCAGAGGUCGCCAUAAUAGGUUUCGAAACCGAUUAGGGUAUGGAGAAACCUUAACCGGCUCUGAUACCAAUUGAAGGACCGAAAGGGCGACCAGAGGGGGGGUGAAUGGGAGCCUAUAAAAAUUUUUAAUGAGAAUAAGGCCUAUGUCCCAAACGCAACCCCACAGCACACUGCGCGUUGUAUCGUCAAGAUGACGCAAGUCAACUCGUGACAGGCUCACCCUAGGAACGAUUUGACACGCUCAAGACAUAACGGAAGCAAGACAUGAAAUUACUCUAACAAGUUUGCUCAAAACACAAUUAACCAGAUCACUCCUAGCUAAUCCGUCAACUAAGCAAAAAAGAAAUAAUAAUUUAAAGUGCUAGGCGUGAUUAGCAAAUGAGAGAGCAAAAUAAUUAAUAGUUAGACUUGAUUAGCAAAAGUGACAACUAAUUAAAAGCUAAGCAAGUGACGCAAGAUGACUCACUAAUUCCAAGAAUUAAAAAUAGAGAAAACUUGAACUCACAGUGGUGUCACAAAAUGAGGCAGGACUUGUU
This 11864-nucleotide long non-coding RNA is filed under the name Setaria viridis. RNAcentral describes it as "long non-coding RNA (SVIR_LNC003921)". The record is from RNAcentral. Lineage: Eukaryota; Viridiplantae; Streptophyta; Magnoliopsida; Poales; Poaceae.